Molecule: ribosomal RNA, 683 nt
Filed under: uncultured bacterium
Lineage: Bacteria
Description: bacterial SSU rRNA
Rfam family: Bacterial small subunit ribosomal RNA
Source: RNAcentral
AGAGUUUGAUCAUGGCUCAGAUUGAACGCUGGCGGCAUGCCUAACACAUGCAAGUCGAACGGCAGCACGGCAGUAGCAAUACUGUGGGUGGCGAGUGGCGGACGGGUGAGGAAUACGUCGGAAUCUGCCCAGUCGUGGGGGAUAACUAGCCGAAAGGUUAGCUAAUACCGCAUACGCACGAGAGUGGAAAGUAGGGGAUCGCAAGACCUCGCGCGAUUGGAGCGGCCGAUAUCAGAUUAGGUAGUUGGUGGGGUAAAAGCCCACCAAGCCGACGAUCUGUAGCUGGUCUGAGAGGAUGAUCAGCCACACUGGAACUGAGACACGGUCCAGACUCCUACGGGAGGCAGCAGUGGGGAAUAUUGGACAAUGGGCGCAAGCCUGAUCCAGCAAUGCCGCGUGUGUGAAGAAGGCCUUCGGGUUGUAAAGCACUUUUAUCAGGAACGAAAAGCGUUGGAUUAAUACCCUGACGUGCUGACGGUACCUGAGGAAUAAGCACCGGCUAACUUCGUGCCAGCAGCCGCGGUAAUACGAAGGGUGCAAGCGUUAAUCGGAAUUACUGGGCGUAAAGCGUGCGUAGAUGGUUCGCUAAGUCGGAUGUGAAAGCCCCGGGCUCAACCUGGGAACUGCAUCCGAUACUGGCGGACUAGAGUGUAAUAGAGGAUGGCGGAAUUCCCGGUGUAGCG